UACAGAGGUCUCAAGCGUUAUUCGGAUUCACUGGGCGUAAAGGGUGCGCAGGCGGCCGAGUGUGUGAGGCGUGAAAGCCCGGGGCUUAACCCCGGAAUUGCACCUCAAACUACACGGCUAGAGCAUUGGAGAGGGUAGCAGAAUUCAUGGUGUAGCAGUGAAAUGCGUAGAUAUCAUGAGGAAUACCAGAGGCGAAGGCGGCUACCUGGACAAUUGCUGACGCUCAGGCACGAAAGCGUGGGGAGCAAAAGGG
Molecule: ribosomal RNA, 253 nt
Filed under: uncultured bacterium
Lineage: Bacteria
Description: partial 16S ribosomal RNA
Rfam family: Bacterial small subunit ribosomal RNA
Source: RNAcentral